GGAAUAUUGGACAAUGGGGGCAACCCUGAUCCAGCAAUGCCGCGUGUGUGAAGAAGGCCUGAGGGUUGUAAAGCACUUUCAGUGGGGAGGAGGGUUACUGGGUUAAGAGCUGAGUAAUUGGACGUUACCCACAGAAGAAGCACCGGCUAACUCCGUGCCAGCAGCCGCGGUAAUACGGAGGGUGCGAGCGUUAAUCGGAAUGACUGGGCGUAAAGGGUGCGUAGGUGGUUUAUUAAGUUGUUGGUGAAAUCUCCGGGCUUAACCUGGGGUUGACGAAUAAAACUGAUGAACUCGAGUAUAGGAGAGGGUAGUGGAAUUUCCGGUGUAGCGGUGAAAUGCGUAGAGAUCGGAAGGAACACCAGUGGCGAAGGCGGCUACCUGGCCUGUUACUGACACUGAAGCACGAAAGCAUGGGGAGCAAACAGGAUUAGAUACCCUGGUAGUCCACGCUGUAAACGAUGUCAACUAGCUGUUGGUCAUAUAAAUAUGAUAAGUGGCGAAGCUAACGCGAUAAGUUGACCGCCUGGGGAGUACGGUCGCAAGAUUAAAACUCAAAUGAAUUGACGA
RNAcentral lists this ribosomal RNA (567 nucleotides) under uncultured bacterium. RNAcentral's name for it is "bacterial SSU rRNA". It matches the Rfam family "Bacterial small subunit ribosomal RNA", at positions 358 to 916 of the family's 1533-position model. The record is from RNAcentral.